UACGGGAGGCAGCAGUGAGGAAUAUUGCGCAAUGGGGGCAACCCUGACGCAGCGACGCCGCGUGGAUGAUGAAGGCCUUCGGGUUGUAAAAUCCUGUCAGAUGGGAAGAAGUGCCAGUUAUCUAAUAGGUGAUUGGUUUGACGGUACCAUCAAAGGAAGCACCGGCUAACUCCGUGCCAGCGACCGCGGUAAU
This 193-nucleotide ribosomal RNA is filed under the name uncultured Desulfobulbaceae bacterium. RNAcentral describes it as "partial 16S ribosomal RNA". It matches the Rfam family "Bacterial small subunit ribosomal RNA", at positions 340 to 524 of the family's 1533-position model. Lineage: Bacteria; Pseudomonadati; Thermodesulfobacteriota; Desulfobulbia; Desulfobulbales; Desulfobulbaceae. The record is from RNAcentral.